GGGAAAGAUGAAAAGCACUUUGGAAAGAGAGUUAAACAGUACGUGAAAUUGCUGAAAGGGAAACGCUUGAAGUCAGUCGCGUUGUCCGGAACUCAGCCUUGCUUUCGCUUGGUGCACUUUCCGGAUGACGGGUCAGCAUCGAUUUUGACCGUCGGAAAAGGGCUGGAGUAAUGUGGCACCUCCGGGUGUGUUAUAGACUCCGGUCGCAUACGGCGGUUGGGAUCGAGGAACGCAGCGCGCCGCAAGGCCAGGGGUUCGCCCACUUUCGCGCUUAGGAUGCUGGCAUAAUGG
RNAcentral lists this ribosomal RNA (291 nucleotides) under Ganoderma lucidum. Its description in RNAcentral is "partial 28S ribosomal RNA". It matches the Rfam family "Eukaryotic large subunit ribosomal RNA", at positions 357 to 637 of the family's 3401-position model. The record is from RNAcentral. Lineage: Eukaryota; Fungi; Basidiomycota; Agaricomycetes; Polyporales; Polyporaceae.